Molecule: ribosomal RNA, 492 nt
Filed under: uncultured bacterium
Lineage: Bacteria
Description: partial 16S ribosomal RNA
Rfam family: Bacterial small subunit ribosomal RNA
Source: RNAcentral
AGUGAACGCUGGCGGUAGACCUAACACAUGCAAGUCGAACGGCAGCACAGUAAGAGCUUGCUCUUACGGGUGGCGAGUGGCGGACGGGUGAGGAAUGCAUCGGAAUCUACUUUUUCGUGGGGGAUAACGUAGGGAAACUUACGCUAAUACCGCAUACGACCUACGGGUGAAAGCAGGGGAUCUUCGGACCUUGCGCGAUUGAAUGAGCCGAUGUCGGAUUAGCUAGUUGGCGGGGUAAAGGCCCACCAAGGCGACGAUCCGUAGCUGGUCUGAGAGGAUGAUCAGCCACACUGGAACUGAGACACGGUCCAGACUCCUACGGGAGGCAGCAGUGGGGAAUAUUGGACAAUGGGCGCAAGCCUGAUCCAGCCAUACCGCGUGGGAGAAGAAGGCCUUCGGGUUGUAAAGCCCUUUUGUUGGGAAAGAAAAGCAGCAGGUUAAUACCCCGCUGUUCUGACGGUACCCAAAGAAUAAGCACCGGCUAACUUCGUG